Molecule: non-coding RNA, 402 nt
Organism: Camellia sinensis
Lineage: Eukaryota; Viridiplantae; Streptophyta; Magnoliopsida; Ericales; Theaceae
Source: RefSeq, a predicted model, not a curated record
CACUCUCACCGCCGCUCCUCCUCGCGUUGGCCGGCAACCGGAGCACCGAUUCACCUCUUUGUUGGUCACCGUCGCCUGAGAUCCUCUCUCUCCCUCUCGGCUCUGUUUUCUGUCUCACAAAAACCUAUACAGCUUCACAGUUUUUGAUUCGGCAAGCUCAAAACCCACAAAUUUCACUCCAUUCCUGUCGUCUUCGCUGCACAGUCCAAUUUCUUGAAAGGUAUACAAUAUCAGUACAAGAUGCAGCUGCAGAGCUUGCCUCGUGAUGCCUAGGCCGCCUCUUCUUUCUUCUGCACAGAACCCCUACCCUAAUCAGAAAGAUAUUCUUGCCCUUAAUUCAGCAUCCCCAAAUUUGUCAUCCUCAAUUACUACUACAGCAGUUCAACCGCCACUAUUGCCGUU